GUGUCGCUCUUCAUCUCUAAAAC
This 23-nucleotide non-coding RNA is filed under the name Arabidopsis thaliana (thale cress). The record is from RNAcentral. Lineage: Eukaryota; Viridiplantae; Streptophyta; Magnoliopsida; Brassicales; Brassicaceae.